This 250-nucleotide unclassified non-coding RNA is filed under the name plant metagenome. RNAcentral describes it as "partial contains small subunit ribosomal RNA, internal transcribed spacer 1, and 5.8S ribosomal RNA". The record is from RNAcentral.
GUAGGUGAACCUGCGGAAGGAUCAUUAACACUUCAUUGAUAAGUUUUUUAAACUUAUUAUUAUACCCACAUUUUAUGGAUGAAUUAAUUCCCAUUAUUUUUCCAAUUUUUCACAAUUUUUAACCCCAAAAACAAAACAAACAAAUCUGAUUAAAUUGACUAAUAUGUGAUUGUUUUUAUUAACAAUUCACACAACAAAAAAUGCUAAGAAAAACAACUCUUAACAACGGAUAUCUUGGCUCUCGCAUCGA